GACGGGAGGGGAUGGCUCCGCGGCCCAUCAGGUAGACGGCGGGGUGACGGCCCACCGUGCCGACAACGGGUAGCCGGGUUGAGAGACCGACCGGCCAGAUUGGGACUGAGACACGGCCCAGACUCCUACGGGAGGCAGCAGUGGGGAAUCUUGCGCAAUGGGGGGAACCCUGACGCAGCGACGCCGCGUGCGGGACGGAGGCCUUCGGGUCGUAAACCGCUUUCAGCAGGGAAGAGUCAAGACUGUACCUGCAGAAGAAGCCCCGGCUAACUACGUGCCAGCAGCCGCGGUAAUACGUAGGGGGCGAGCGUUAUCCGGAUUCAUUGGGCGUAAAGCGCGCGUAGGCGGCCCGGCAGGCCGGGGGUUGAAGCGGGGGGCUCAACCCCCCGAAGCCCCCGGAACCUCCGCGGCUUGGGUCCGGUAGGGGAGGGUGGAACACCCGGUGUAGCGGUGGAAUGCGCAGAUAUCGGGUGGAACACCGGUGGCGAAGGCGGCCCUCUGGGCCGAGACCGACGCUGAGGCGCGAAAGCUGGGGGAGCGAACAGGAUUAGAUACCCUGGUAGUCCCAGCCGUAAACGAUGGACGCUAGGUGUGGGGGGACGAUCUCCCCGUG
RNAcentral lists this ribosomal RNA (613 nucleotides) under uncultured bacterium. Its description in RNAcentral is "bacterial SSU rRNA". It matches the Rfam family "Bacterial small subunit ribosomal RNA", at positions 214 to 845 of the family's 1533-position model. The record is from RNAcentral.